UGGGGAAUAUUGCACAAUGGGCGCAAGCCUGAUGCAGCCAUGCCGCGGGUAUGAAGAAGGCCUUCGGGUUGUAAAGUACUUUCAGCGGGGAGGAAGGGAGUAAAGUUAAUACCUUUGCUCAUUGACGUUACCCGCAGAAGAAGCACCGGCUAACUCCGUGCCAGCAGCCGCGGUAAUACGGAGGGUGCAAGCGUUAAUCGGAAUUACUGGGCGUAAAGCGCACGCAGGCGGUUUGUUAAGUCAGAUGUGAAAUCCUCGGGCUCAACCUGGGAACUGCAUCUGAUACUGGCAAGCUUGGGUCUCGUAGAGGGGGGUAGAAUUCCAGGUGUAGCGGUGAAAUGCGUAGAGAUCUGGAGGAAUACCGGUGGCGAAGGCGGCCCCCUGGACGAAGACUGACGCUCAGGUGCGAAAGCGUGGGGAGCAAACAGG
RNAcentral lists this ribosomal RNA (429 nucleotides) under Chloroflexota bacterium. Its description in RNAcentral is "Chloroflexi bacterium partial 16S ribosomal RNA". It matches the Rfam family "Bacterial small subunit ribosomal RNA", at positions 355 to 776 of the family's 1533-position model. Lineage: Bacteria; Bacillati; Chloroflexota. The record is from RNAcentral.